AAAGGCUCAUUAAAUCAGUUAUGGUUCCUUAGAUCGUACCCACAAUUACUUGGAUAACUGUGGUAAUUCUAGAGCUAAUACAUGCAAACAGAGCUCCGACCGGAGACGGAAGGAGUGCUUUUAUUAGAUCAAAACCAAUCGGUGGCGGGUUCGCCCGUUAUCGUACAACUUGGUGACUCUGAAUAACUUUACGCUGAUCGCACGGUCAUCGCACCGGCGACGCAUCUUUCAAAUGUCUGCCUUAUCAACUGUCGAUGGUAGGUUCUGCGCCUACCAUGGUUGUAACGGGUAACGGGGAAUCAGGGUUCGAUUCCGGAGAGGGAGCCUGAGAAACGGCUACCACAUCCAAGGAAGGCAGCAGGCGCGCAAAUUACCCACUCCCGGCACGGGGAGGUAGUGACGAAAAAUAACGAUACGGGACUCAUCCGAGGCCCCGUAAUCGGAAUGAGUACACUCUAAACCCUU
Molecule: ribosomal RNA, 465 nt
Filed under: Trigonopterus parvus
Lineage: Eukaryota; Metazoa; Arthropoda; Insecta; Coleoptera; Curculionidae
Description: SSU rRNA
Rfam family: Eukaryotic small subunit ribosomal RNA
Source: RNAcentral